RNAcentral lists this transfer RNA (72 nucleotides) under Methanobacteriota archaeon. RNAcentral describes it as "Euryarchaeota archaeon tRNA-Ala". It matches the Rfam family "tRNA". Rfam says of the family: Transfer RNA (tRNA) molecules are approximately 80 nucleotides in length. Their secondary structure includes four short double-helical elements and three loops (D, anti-codon, and T loops). The record is from RNAcentral. Lineage: Archaea; Methanobacteriati; Methanobacteriota.
GGGCCCUUAGCUCAACGGUAGAGCGCUGCCCUCGCACGGCAGAGGCUGGGGGUUCAAGUCCCCCAGGGUCCA